CGGGUGAGUAAUACAUCGGAACGUACCCAGGAGUGGGGGACAACCUCGAGAAAUCGAGGCUAAUACCGCAUACGUCCUGAGGGAGAAAGCGGGGGAUUCGCAAGAACCUCGCGCUCAUGGAGCGGCCGAUGUCCGAUUAGCUAGUUGGCGGGGUAAGAGCCCACCAAGGCGACGAUCGGUAGCUGGUUUGAGAGAACGACCAGCCACACUGGGACUGAGACACGGCCCAG
RNAcentral lists this ribosomal RNA (230 nucleotides) under uncultured bacterium. RNAcentral describes it as "partial 16S ribosomal RNA". It matches the Rfam family "Bacterial small subunit ribosomal RNA", at positions 103 to 334 of the family's 1533-position model. The record is from RNAcentral.